ACGCGAAAGUCCCCUUCGGGGGACAAGUAGAGUGGCGCACGGGUGAGUAACACGUAGGUAAUCUACCUUCGGAUGGGGAAUAACAACCGGAAACGGUUGCUAAUACCGCAUAAUGCAGCGGCACCUAAUGGUGACAGUUGUUAAAGCGGGGGAUCGAAAGACCUCGCGUCUGAAGAGGAGCCUGCGGCGGAUUAGCUAGUUGGUAAGGUAACGGCUUACCAAGGCGACGAUCCGUAGCCGGCCUGAGAGGGCGGUCGGCCACACUGACACUGACAUACGGGUCAGACUCCUACGGGAGGCAGCAGUCGGGAAUUUUGGGCAAUGGGCGAAAGCCUGACCCAGCAACGCCGCGUGAAGGAUGAAAUCCCUCGGGAUGUAAACUUCGCAAGAACGGGAAGAAUAAGUAGGGGACAAUACCCCCUAUGAUGACGGUACCGUUUGUAAGCUCCGGCUAACUCCGUGCCAGCAGCCGCGGUAAUACGGGGGGAGCAAGCGUUG
This 498-nucleotide ribosomal RNA is filed under the name uncultured bacterium. RNAcentral's name for it is "bacterial SSU rRNA". It matches the Rfam family "Bacterial small subunit ribosomal RNA", at positions 66 to 543 of the family's 1533-position model. The record is from RNAcentral.